RNAcentral lists this unclassified non-coding RNA (354 nucleotides) under Hevea brasiliensis (rubber tree). The record is from RNAcentral. Lineage: Eukaryota; Viridiplantae; Streptophyta; Magnoliopsida; Malpighiales; Euphorbiaceae.
GGUGACCCAAUGCACAAAGCAUCCUGCACUUGUGGGCUUUGGGGAAGUUUGAUGUACGCAGGCUUAUCCUUGCGUUGCAGAGAGGCUGCUUCUGGCUUGAACCCUUGAACUCCAAGUCACAAAUGGAGUACAUUUACCAUUGCACUCUACGGUAGAAACUGGUAUGACAGAUGAAAAUACAUUGCUGCUUUUGAACUAACUAACCUUAGAAAGUCUGCUUCUCCACUUUAGGUCCCAGGCAUUUUAGAGACAUGCAAUUUACUUUUACCGUUUUUGCUUGAUGGCAUUGCUGCUACCAAUAAAGGUUAUGCAAUUUUUUAACUACCUAUGACAAAAAAUGUAUAUAUUUCUGUU